This 1255-nucleotide long non-coding RNA is filed under the name Brassica napus (rape). RNAcentral describes it as "long non-coding RNA (BNAP_LNC005208)". Lineage: Eukaryota; Viridiplantae; Streptophyta; Magnoliopsida; Brassicales; Brassicaceae. The record is from RNAcentral.
GACAGAUAACUGUGCUGGGUUUGAAAUUGAAUUUGAAAGUGGCUGAAACAUUCGUUGUGUAUGUCAACAGAAUUGCACAAUUACUGAGUGCUAGUAUUUCUUCUACUGUCAUACAUAAUAUUGUUUUUUUCUUUCUCACUUUUAGUUGUUGUGGUCUUUUGACUGUAGGCAUAGGGUCUCCCAUGAACCAAAACUCCCGCCGCCCUAACCUUAAUUUAUGGAGCAAUUCUAACACUCAGCAACAAAAUCCUUCAGGUGGCAUGAUGUGGCCUAGCUCGCCGUCUCACCUCAACGGCAAACGUCAUCUCAGCCAGCAAGCCCGGAAUUCAGGAGCAUGUCCACCCUUUUGACAAUUCAAAUAUGGGGAUCCAAAGCAUGCCAAACCUUCAUCCUCAUUCUUUUUCAGAGUACCUCGACAACUUUACAAAUGGUAGUCCAUAUAAGUCCUCGACAGCAUUUUCUGAAGUCGUUAGUGAUGGCUCGAAAGCAAAUGAUGCCUUUAUGUUACAUAAUGUUCGUGGAGUGGAUGGCUUUAACGGAGGGGGUAAGCUCUUUAUCUCUAAAUUGCUACUGUUUUGAUAAAUUUGUCGAAGAAUAAUGAUGAUAUGUAGUUGACAAUUGUGAGUUUAAGAAGAAUGUCUGCCGUAGCACACUAUUAGGAUGGUCCUUACAAUUUUAGUGGAAUCUGAAAUGUGCUACAGCGAUGAAAAUUCUAGGUACUGUUUCUGUAGACAACUUUUUUUAAAAGCAUUCUUGGUGUAAAACUUGUCAUCCUGGGAAAAUAUUAUUAGUAUUAUGUUCUUAAUUGCAGUCAUAUAGACAGAUAACUGUGCUGGGUUUGAAAUUGAAUUUGAAAGUGGCUGAAACAUUCGUUGUGUAUGUCAACAGAAUUGCACAAUUACUGAGUGCUAGUAUUUCUUCUACUGUCAUACAUAAUAUUGUUUUUUUCUUUCUCACUUUUAGUUGUUGUGGUCUUUUGACUGUAGGCAUAGGGUCUCCCAUGAACCAAAACUCCCGCCGCCCUAACCUUAAUUUAUGGAGCAAUUCUAACACUCAGCAACAAAAUCCUUCAGGUGGCAUGAUGUGGCCUAGCUCGCCGUCUCACCUCAACAGCAUUACUAGUCAGCGCCCACCUGUUACUGUAUUCUCUAGAGCACCUCCUGUUAUGGUGAAUAUGGCAUCUUCCCCUGUGCACCACCACAUUGGAUCUGCGCCCGUAUUAAACUCGCCUUUCUGGGAUAGAAGACAAGCCUAU